This is a long non-coding RNA of Mus musculus (house mouse), 2739 nucleotides long. RefSeq annotates it as predicted gene, 34481. The transcript has 2 exons. The record is from RefSeq and is a predicted model, not a curated record. NCBI's taxonomy places the organism in Eukaryota, Metazoa, Chordata, Mammalia, Rodentia, Muridae.
CUCCUCCAUGCCUUCUGCCAUGAUGAUCAUGGACUCUAACCCUCUGAAGCCAUGAGCCCUCAGUUCGCUCCUUCUUCUCUAUGUUACCUUGCUCAUGAUGUCUUUCUACAGCAACAGAGAAGUAACUAAGUCACAUCUCAAGAAAUCUGAAUGUAUGGCCUAUUUACUCUACACUGUUGGAUGGCAGAUUCUAUGGACAAGCCUAUGUUCUCCACAUUGUCUCUGUUCUUUCGAUUAUCCUCUGCCAACGUCUCAAAUGGCAUUGACGUUCUUUCCAGGCCUGCUUGAAGUUUUUACCAAAACAACCAGGGACAUUUACACACUACUCUGAGUUUCUCAUGAUCUGUCUCUUGCUUUUUGAUCUCUCAUCCUUGAUUAUGGCACUGUCCCUUCCUUCCUGCUCCUUGGAAUUCCCAAAGGAGAGGGACUGAAUGCUCACUGGUCGUUCACUGCCAAGCCCCACCAUGCCAUACUGUUGGUCUUUCAGAGCGAAGCAAACGUAGCUCCUUUUUGUAUACCUCUGGCUUUGACCUCUUCAUUUUCCGGCCUGAGUUUCAGUGAAUACUGGAGGUGGAAAGGCCAAAUGAGCCUGAAGCUUGUCCUACUCACAGAUCUGCCUGUCUGCAGUCACUUUGAAGAUCUCAAAGGUGGUGACAACUUCGUUAGUUAUGUGUGCCCCAGCAGAUGGAGGAGCUGAACGUUACUUAGGGAUCACUCCCCUGUUGCUGGACAUCUAUGUUAUUUUCAUUUAUUCUCACUUAUUUCUGCUGGUACUGGGGGUUAAAUCCAGGGUCUGUGCAUGACUGCCAAGUACCCUACCACUGAGAACUGCAUCCCAUCUUGUUUUACUAUUUUUAUUUUGAGACACUGUCUCCCUCAACUGUCCACACUGGCCUUGAACCCAUGACCCUACUGCUUCAAGUCUUCUAUUUCUUUUUUCUUCUUUUUGAGACAGUGUUUUGUUAUGUUGCCCAGGCUGGCCUUGAAAUAGAAAUUUCCCUACUUCGACUUUCUGAGUGGUGGGAUUACAGAUAUAAGCCGUUACAUCUGUUCAUAUUUUUUAUUGCUGCUACCGUGACCUUCAGUAUGCUUGAAGUAUCUUCCUGCAUCCAGAGUUUUACUGACAUCAGAAGUAUAAAGAAUAUAAACAUUUCCCACAAACACAAUUUUUUAUUAUAAAAUAAUACUUGGUAAUGGUGCUAUUAUCUAUUUACUUACAUCUUAGGGCCAGCAAGAUGGUUCCGUGGGUAAAGGCACUUGUUACCAAGCCAAGCCUGAUGACCAGAGUUUGAUUCCAGGACUCACAUGGUGGAAGGUGACAAGUUGUCAUCUGACCACCUCAUACACUCCUACAUACAUACAUACAUACAUACAUACAUACAUAAAAUAAAAAUUUAAAGGAUGUUCUUAUAUACAUACAUAACACACACACACAUAUAAUUGCUUUUGAAAUAAAUAACUGAGCUCAUGUGUGUAUGCGCGCGCGUGUGUGUUCCUCUGUGUGUGUGUGUGUGUGUGUGUGUGUGUGUGUGUGCUCAUGAGUGUGCAUACGUUCCCACCAUAUUUCAAGAGCAGAGAUGAGAGAUCACCUUCCUCCCUUGCCUUCUGCUUUGUAAAGACAGAACGUAGUGUUAAAGCUGCUGCGCUGUGAACUCCAGUUCCUCAGACUGGCCGACCCGGAGCUUCUGGGUGAUUCUCCCAUCUCAUCCUAGGAGUGCUGGGACUGCAGAAGCUGCCAUCACAUCUGCCUUUUUUUUUUUUUUUAAAGAAAAAGUUGGAGGUUUUUGGGGAAUGAACUCGUAUAGCUAGUGCUUUUAUGCACAGAACCAUCUCCCUGUCUCCUUGUACACAUUUUUGAGGAAGAAAAUGGACUCUAUCCUUCUAGAAUCUGCUCAUCCUGUCCCCUGGGACCCUUUGCACCAACGGCGUUCUCAGCAGGAAACGUUCUUGACUUCUCCGUGACUGGAUUCUUCUAACUUUAAAAGUUAAGAGACUUAGGAUUUCAAAUUAUUUUGCAUGGAGUUUCUUGUAAUGGUCAGCAUCUGACAUCCUCCUUGGUUUUCCUAUUUUCUGUCUCUCCCAAAGGCAUCAAUAACCUAAUCUGUUUUGUUAACCCUCAUAACUCAGCAUUGGGCACAGCAGCUACCGUGGUCAUGGUAGCAGCCCAUAUGUGGUCAUGCAUAAAGACCCUUGAAUUCCAGAUUCACGGCUGCUCAUGAGAACUUCUUCCUGGCCUGUCCUCAGUGGGGUUUGAAGCACUGGUGUCCAACAGGUCAGUCUUUCCUCUCCCUCUUACCUCCUUGCUUUGGUCAGUCAGUAGCUGACUCCCUGUGGUUAUAGGAGGAAGAAUCUGGAUUUUAAGAAUUUGACUCAAUGAAAAAUAAAUAUGAGAGGGACAGAAAACAACAUAGAUGUAAAGAACUAUUCAAGGUAUAUGAUUUGUGUAAAUUAUGCUUGGUUUUCUGUUCAAGAUUUUUUAAAGUUAAAUCUGAUUUUUCCAUCAAAGAUCAGCUGGUUUCUUCCCUUACGGUUUGUAGCUAGAAUGACUUAUAAAGUGACUUUCUUGUUUUGUUUAGGGUAAGUUUUCUUUGUGUAUUUAUUAAACAUAAAUAGCUAUGUUUAAUACUUUGCAGGUAAACAGAUUAGCUUUUGCUCAAGAAGUCAGAAAAUAAGUUCUGAAUUCUUCUAUGCCUAUUUCUAUGCUGAACCAGGUCUGUUCAAAAAUAAAUAUUAAAUGAG